AAUAGAUACCCUGGUAGUCCACGCCGUAAACGGUGGGCACUAGGUGUGGGCGACAUUCCACGGAUUCUGUGUCGCAGCUAACGCAUUAAGUUCCCCGCCUGGGGAGUACGGCCGCAAGGCUAAAACUCAAAGGAAUUGACGGGGGCCCGCACAAGCGGCGGAGCAUGCGGAUUAAUUCGAUGCAACGCGAAGAACCUUACCAAGGCUUGACAUAUACGAGAACGGGCCAGAAAUGGUCAACUCUUUGGACACUCGUAAACAGGUGGUGCAUGGUUGUCGUCAGCUCGUGUCGUGAGAUGUUGGGUUAAGUCCCGCAACGAGCGCAACCCUCGUUCUUUGUUGCCAGCACGUAAUGGUGGGAACUCAAAGGAGACUGCCGGGGUCAACUCGGAGGAAGGUGGGGAUGACGUCAAAUCAUCAUGCCCCUUAUGUCUUGGGCUUCACGCAUGCUACAAUGGCCGGUACAAAGGGCUGCAAUACCGCAAAGUGGAGCGAAUCCCAAAAAGCCGGUCUCAGUUCGGAUUGAGGU
RNAcentral lists this ribosomal RNA (529 nucleotides) under uncultured bacterium. RNAcentral's name for it is "bacterial SSU rRNA". It matches the Rfam family "Bacterial small subunit ribosomal RNA", at positions 777 to 1304 of the family's 1533-position model. The record is from RNAcentral.